This is a long non-coding RNA of Ostrea edulis (European flat oyster), 1952 nucleotides long. RefSeq lists it as uncharacterized. The record is from RefSeq and is a predicted model, not a curated record. NCBI's taxonomy places the organism in Eukaryota, Metazoa, Mollusca, Bivalvia, Ostreida, Ostreidae. The transcript has 3 exons.
UUGUAGACAAUGUGUUUCAUUCUAUAAUACUGCCAUAUGUUGUACACUCCAGUUUUUCUAAUUCCUUUCAGACUUGAGUGCCUGCUCUCCACUUGUAAAUGGCAACAGGUCCAAAGACAAACAGCGAGGGAAAUUGGUCUGCAAAAGGUUGUGCUUUUGGAAGUGUGCACACAAAGUCUGUUUUUCAUUUUCUGCAGCUGGGGCCUAAUGUGGAGAUUCUCGAGGACAAUGGAUGACCUUUUGUUGUGAAAACCAUCACAUUCAGACACAGUGGAGUUAGUGCCACACGAUCCCCAAUAAUACUGAAUAUCUGAUUUGACUGUUAAACAAGUGACAGCUGACCAUCAGAAAGAAUAUCCUUUGUCCUGCCCAUUGGUGUGACCUUAUGUGACCUCAGAUGACCUUAAUUGUAUCAAUCAAACUCAGAUAUCAGGAGACUUGACAAACAUUUACAAACACUCAUUACUGAGUUUCCUUAGCAGACAAAAACAAAGUGAUUCUCUUCAGUUGGCCUCAGGCUUCUGCAACGGGUGACACCAGAGUCAAACAGACACAGAGGCAGCUCCCAGUGGCAGCACUUACAACUGGGAAGUGUGAGAACAAGAUCAGAGAGGUGCUGUCUUCACGAAUUCCAAUAAUCAAUUAAACAUCAGUAAAAUCUCAAAGAUUCAAAUGCUAGGGCAUGUGGUGUUGAAGAGUUAAACAGAUGCAAGGAGAAAAAACUGGCGCCACAGUGAUACAGAAAAAGAUAUACAUCCCAAACGUUACAGAAGACAGAGCUACAUAUAGACAGAGUUGUCUUGUGUUCAGUAUACACAAAACACACAGCUGUGGCCUCUUACAGAGCUAUAUAGAUAGAGCAUGUUGAAAGCAAACACACACCUGGUUUGUUUAAAGUUCAAGGAAUGCUAUCUAGAGGUGUUCCAAAUGACUGUGAACAUUUCCCUGCUAUCUCUCUGUGGAGAGCAGGGGUGGCUGAUUGAUGUAGUAGGGAACCAGUCUGAAAAUCUUCUAAUCACCUAUAGCCUGAAGUUACAUCACAUGAAAAGUUCCAAACACUCUCAUUUAUUGAAAAUUGAUGACAUAUUUCAAUAUACAUGAAUUGCUUUCUGUAAACAAGCUCAGGACAAGCCAUUUAAAUGUACAAUUAUGUAUCCAAUAUAAUCAUAAUUAUAUAUUAAAGAGCACAAGAGAAAAAGCACAGGCACUCGACAUUUUAAAACUCUAUUAAAAAAAAAAUUAGUCUUUCAAUAAACAAACUAUGCCCAGGAAGAUAAUUUUAUGAUAGAUUUUUAAAAUGUCCAAUAUGCCUGUGAGGAAGAAAGGAUGAGAAAAUAAUACAUCUAUAUGUAUAUUUUUCAAACGUAUUUUGCAUUGUUAUUUGGUAUAUUUUGCAGUACUGGGAUUAUUAGCAUAUAACAAACAAUAUAAUUCUCAAUUUUCUUGCAUUAAAUUAUGAUGCAUGGUGGUAAUUAAUUAAUACUUCAAUUAUUAUUGUUACAUACAUAUCCAGUUCUCCAAUUAAAUCAAGCCAAACCAGUGUAAUGAAUGAAAUACUAUUUUGUAAAUGGUAUUUUAAAAACAAUUUGUAAGUAUUUAUUCAAUCACAUUGUUAUUCAUAAUGCAUGAAACGAUCCUGAUUUGGAAAUGACGAAUCUAUCUGCCUAGAAAGCUUUAAUAUACAGUAUAAUCUGUCUAAACCGGCUAUGUGUGGUUCCAAAGAAAUUGGCCGGUUUGCACAGAGUCCGGAGUGCAGAAUGUUGACAAUAAUGAGAGUUGCUUCCCUUGUAUUCACUAUCUAUGCAUACGUGUGUAAUGAUUGCUAACGUUUUAAUAUAUCACAAAAGAAUUCAAAAUGUAAAAAUAUAAAUGUCAGUGUUUUAUUGUCGUGCUCAUUUGAAAAAGUUUUAAUUUUUAUUAAACAGUUUAAAAUCUGGGAAUUAUUCGCGCAA